GGAUAACCUACCCUUAGGACUGGGAUAACCCUGGGAAACUGGGGCUAAUACCGGAUAGGCAAUUAUUCCUGCAAUGGUUUUUUGUUUAAAUGUUUUUUCGCCUAAGGAUGGGUCUGCGGCCGAUUAGGUAGUUGGUUAGGUAAUGGCUUACCAAGCCGUUGAUCGGUACGGGUUGUGAGAGCAAGAGCCCGGAGAUGGAACCUGAGACAAGGUUCCAGGCCCUACGGGGUGCAGCAGGCGCGAAACCUCCGCAAUGUGAGAAAUCGCGACGGGGGGAUCCCAAGUGCCAUUCUUAACGGGAUGGCUUUUCAUUAGUGUAAAGAGCUUUUGGAAUAAGAGCUGGGCAAGACCGGUGCCAGCCGCCGCGGUAACACCGGCAGCUCUAGUGGUAACAAUUUUUAUUGGGCCUAAAGCGUCCGUAGCCGGUUUAAUAAGUCUCUGGUGAAAUCCUGUAGCUUAACUGUGGGAAUUGCUGGAGAUACUAUUAGACUUGAGACCGGGAGAGGUUAGAGGUACUCCCAGGGUAGAGGUGAACUUCUGUAAUCCUGGGAGGACCGCCUGUUGCGAAGGCGUCUAACUGGAACGGUUCUGACGGUGAGGGACGAAAGUUAGGGGCGCGAACCGGAUUAGAUACCCGGGUAGUCCUAACUGUAAACGAUGCGGACUUGGUGUUGGGGUGGCUUUGAGCUGCUCCAGUGCCGAAGGGAAGCUGUUAAGUCCGCCGCCUGGGAAGUACGUCGCAAGACUGAAACUUAA
This 756-nucleotide ribosomal RNA is filed under the name uncultured archaeon. RNAcentral's name for it is "bacterial SSU rRNA". It matches the Rfam family "Archaeal small subunit ribosomal RNA", at positions 102 to 859 of the family's 1478-position model. The record is from RNAcentral.